Molecule: ribosomal RNA, 229 nt
Filed under: uncultured bacterium
Lineage: Bacteria
Description: partial 16S ribosomal RNA
Rfam family: Bacterial small subunit ribosomal RNA
Source: RNAcentral
CGGGGUGGAGUAAUGUCUGGGAAACUGCCUGAUGGAGGGGGAUAACUGCUGGAAACGGUAGCUAUACCGCAUAACGUCGCAAGACCAAAGAGGGGGACCUUCGGGCCUCUUGCCAUCGGAUGUGCCCAGAUGGGAUUAGCUAGUAGGUGGGGUAACGGCUCACCUAGGCGACGAUCCCUAGCUGGUCUGAGAGGAUGACCAGCCACACUGGAACUGAGACACGGUCCAG